RNAcentral lists this ribosomal RNA (264 nucleotides) under uncultured archaeon. RNAcentral describes it as "partial 16S ribosomal RNA". It matches the Rfam family "Archaeal small subunit ribosomal RNA", at positions 716 to 982 of the family's 1478-position model. The record is from RNAcentral.
ACAGUCACACAUUAGAUACCCCUGUAGUCCAGGGUGUAAACGCUGCAGACUUGGUGUUGGGAACCCUUCGGGGGUGCUCAGUGCCGGAGAGAAGUUGUUAAGUCUGCUACUUGGGAGUACGUCCGCAAGGAUGAAACUUAAAGGAAUCGGCGGGGGAGCACCGCAACGGGAGGAGCGUGCGGUUUAAUUGGAUUCAACGCCGAAAAACUCACCAGCAGCGACUGUUACAUGAAAGUCAGGUUGAUGACCUUACUAGAUUUUCAG